AGAAACAAACAAAAACGUGAAGGCGACGGAGUAGGAGAGGACAUUCUCCAUGCAGCUAGCUAGGAUUAGGACGUACCAUUAAUAUAUAAAGUGUCAAGAAAUGGGAAGGGACCGCCAAGUUUCCUUGUGUGUCUAUUUGCGCAAUAAUAUCAGAUCACUUAUCUCUUCCUUAUCUUUAUAUAUCUAUGACCAGUACCUGAUCUUUCAUCGGUUUUCAGCUCUCUCCCUUCUCCACACAUUUAUCUGUCUCCACCACUUCUUCGAUAAUAUAAGCUAAUUUGUUUGAACUACUUUGAAUUACUGGUCGGUUGAUCUGCCUUCCGGAAAUUAAAACUAUUUGCGAGAGAGAGAGAGAGAAGGAAGAAUGUAUGCACCACCUGGUUAUGAAGGGAUGUCGCAUUUUGAUCAUGUUCGGAGACGCCAUGAAGAGAAAGGCUUCCUCUACGCCUGUUUGUUCGCCUUGUGUUGCUGUUUCUGCUGCUUUGAGACUUGCGAGUGCUGCUUAGAAUUUCUUUGCUGUUGCUGCCCUUAGUACCAUACAAGCUGGAAGUAAUCUAGAGGAGAGGAGAACGGCGGUCCACGUCUGUGACACUCAUCACUUUGCAGUAUUGUUAUCAUCAUGUAUCGUUUAAUUUCCUUUCAUCAACCAACAAUAACUGCCAGUCUCCAACCUCACAGUACGUUUAUGUGAUUGGUGUCUAUCCCCAGUGUGAUAUAUAUAUAUAUAUAUAUAACUUUCCCCUGCUUUUAAUUUAUUUGUGGCACAAAUCACAAUUAAAAUUUAUAUAAAAGAUUUUAUAUUCCCCCUAUCAUUA
Molecule: long non-coding RNA, 815 nt
Organism: Carya illinoinensis
Lineage: Eukaryota; Viridiplantae; Streptophyta; Magnoliopsida; Fagales; Juglandaceae
Exons: 2
Source: RefSeq, a predicted model, not a curated record